UACGUAGGGGGGCAAGCGUUGUCCGGAAUCAUUGGGCGUAAAGCGCGUGUAGGCGGCUUCACAGGUCCGCUGUGAAAACUCGAGGCUCAACCUCGAGCUGUCGGUGGAAACCGUGUGGCUAGAGUCCGGAAGAGGAGAGUGGAAUUCCCAGUGUAGAGGUGAAAUUCGUAGAUAUUGGGAAGAACACCGGUGGCGAAGGCGGCUCUCUGGACCGAGACUGACGCUGAGGCGCGAAAGCGUGGGGAGCAAACAGG
Molecule: ribosomal RNA, 254 nt
Filed under: uncultured bacterium
Lineage: Bacteria
Description: partial 16S ribosomal RNA
Rfam family: Bacterial small subunit ribosomal RNA
Source: RNAcentral